Alexandromys fortis (reed vole) is the source of this 818-nucleotide long non-coding RNA. RefSeq lists it as uncharacterized. The record is from RefSeq and is a predicted model, not a curated record. Lineage: Eukaryota; Metazoa; Chordata; Mammalia; Rodentia; Cricetidae. The transcript is spliced from 3 exons.
AACUUUGUCCCAAAACUCUGGUUUUGGCUCUGGAUACGUCACGCCCACUGGUACUGCGGAACACCCACUACUCACCCUCAAACUGCCCCCUUUCUGUGAGGGAAUUUCCCUUUGGACAUGCCCUUUGGCCCUGGCCCAGCCACAGCUGUGACGAGUCCCUCAGGGCCGGAUGGGUGGGCCCACCUCACAGGCUUGGGGACAGGGAUGGAAAAUGGUGGUUCCAGGCAGUCCCGCUGCCAGCCCGCCCCGCCCCGCACCCUCCGAGAACCGCCCAGCCGAGGAUGCCCUGGUUUCCCGCGUUUUCUCGCUCUGCGGGAUCCGUUCAGCCUUAGCUCUGGACGCUGCAGAGAUCUCUCGUCUAGGACCGAGGUUGUCGAGCGGCCAGAAGCCUUCUUCCAUCUCUGAGACUCAUGACGCUUCUCCCUGCGGUCCGUGGCCAGGCUUGGCAAGGUCCUGGGGCCCAGAUCGACCCACACGCUCCGGUUCCCCGCAGGUGCCAUCAGAACCAGCCACUAAUGAAUGCCAUGACUGGCCUACUGACCCUACUUUGACCUUCUAAUAAACCAUUCUCUGCUCUCUACGUGAAAUUUUAAAUAUGAGUCAGGGCCCAUGAGCUGGCUCAGUCAGUAAAGGUGCUUGCUGCCAAGCCUGACAGCUAAGUUCUGUCCCCAGGCACACACGGUGGGAGGAAUAAACCAAGCCGCAGGCUGUCCUGUAGCCUGCACACUGCACACACAAGCUGUCCUGUAUCCUCCACGCGUGCAUACACAAGCUGUCCUGUAUCUUGCACACUGCACACACAAGCUGUCCUGUAUCCU